This 5331-nucleotide long non-coding RNA is filed under the name Leptinotarsa decemlineata (Colorado potato beetle). RNAcentral describes it as "uncharacterized LOC111502154". The record is from RNAcentral. Lineage: Eukaryota; Metazoa; Arthropoda; Insecta; Coleoptera; Chrysomelidae.
AAUUUUAUUUGAAAUAAUUAUUCACAGAUUUCUCAUUUGCUAUAAAAAAACGUUGAUUGCUCUACACAUGUCCUUAUAUAAUUUUCACCGAUGUUUUUUUCACCUUAUUAUUCGCAAGUUUUCCAUUUUUCAUAUACUAAAGAGAAGUGGAAAGAUAUAAAUGCAGUUUUCUAAAAAUGACUCUUUUACAAUAAUCUGGAGAUUACUUGUGUCUUUGAUGACAAUCUGGAUAAAAUUGUGUUUGCAUGUAUUGUAUUUAUCUUCUUUACUAGACGUUUUUCCAACCGAAACCUGAAUUUUUAUAAUAUUCAUCAAACUCUCUCAAAUGAAUCUACUGAAAAUACUUUUGCCACACUAGAACAAACUGCCUCUCGACACUUAUUUCGCUUAUCAAUUAUAUUUUCUUCUUUUCUCUGGACGUUUUUCACACUGUACGUAUAAUGGUGGUGAAGGAGAAACCCACAAAACUAAUCUCUCAAAAAUAUCCUCUUCUCAAUUCAAAUGAAUUUGACUUAACUAUCCUUAUGUCAUUGCGACAAAAGCAGAAGUGUCUUUUUCGGUGACAUACAAUCGUAAUUUUAUGAAAGAAAUUAAUGCUUCGUUUUCAAAGUAAUCCAAAAAGGUGCUUAUGUGGAAUUGCAAGUAAUUGUUUUCGCCCAAAACUUCGAAGCACAUCUAGUGAUUGAUAGUUUCCAUAGGAAGUGAAUGAAAAGGAACUGAUGAAGCAUGAGAAAAUACGUAGCAGCCGACUGAGUCAACGGACGCUGUUUUAUUGAUCUGUUUGGGUGAAUUACAGCCAUGAAUGAUUCCUAGGGAGAUAUUCCCCUCUUCUCAGUUCGGCAUUUUCGCAAGGUUCCAUUUCCUUUCAGCAGCGUUGAUCUUCAAUAAUUCAUAACGGAAUAGAACAGAAACAAUUCAGUAUUCGAUAUAAAAGAAGCUGCUCUAGUAGUAUAUAAAUCUUAGCGAAGUUUAGCGUCUGAUUGUUUUUUUUUAUUUUGGUAAAUUCUCUCAAAUAUCAAGAGCUAUCACCGUUCUACAACAAACGUUGUGUGUACUUUUUUUUUCAUCUCAGAAAAACUGAAUUACGUUCGUUCACACACACAUACCACCUGUAUUUUCAAAGGAUAUCAUUUUGCGUAACAUGACUUCACUGGUACUGCAUUUUGACAAAUAGUUUAGGGCGACUUUUGCCGCUAGAAGGCGCUGCAAAACUCUAGGAGAAUAAAGAGGUUACCAUGGGAUAUGCAUAUGUUGUAGAUAGUGUUUGUAUUUUUAUAAUGAGCUUUUAAUAUUCAGUUAUCAGAAACUAGAUUGAACUUUCAUUUUAUUCUAACUUUUAUGUCGGACAACUGCAAUAUGUUAGAUAAUUUCUAAUACAUACACAUACAUACAUGAGUUUGCCGAUGGAUUAAUCGAUUUGGAGUAUUAUUUUUCAUUUCUUUGCUAGAUCUCGACCACUCCGUAGUCUCUCAGAAUAAAUAUCAGAUUUUGAAGACAAAAAUCAAUAAAGUUGAAAACAUUGAAGCACCAAGUAACGGUGAAAUCAUAUUGCGCAAAAUUGUAUAGAUAAAAAUUUUCCUGGACUUUGUAGGUGAUACUGGUUUUGAUUGUUUCAUGAUAAAUGAUUCCAUGAACACAGUUUUUUGUUUUAAUGUUUUUUUUCCAAUCAAUAUAAUACCAAUAAACAAAAGCAUGAGGAUCGACUUCUGAAAUCUUUCGAGAACUAUCCACCAUCUGUGCAAAGUGAUAACAUCGGGGUAUGGGAAGGCAUUUCCGAUCAUCACAGUCUGUUAAAGAGGUUCUGUUCGAGCGCAAAAAUUGGGUAUUUUAGAGUGGACAUUGCGGCAUGGCGCAUUAACAGUGCACAACAAUCAUCUACAACAUGAGCAAAUAUUUAUAAAAAACUAUUUCUGAAACAACUCAUGCAGCGCGUAACAACAGAUAUUGUGCAGAAAUGUGUAGGUAUGGCCAGCCUCAGAAGUGAAAAGUGAGUUGAGGCAUCUACGGGGCUGGCAACAAACAGGACUAGAUCAAUAACUUGCGCCCGCCGCUUAAACGGGGCUUUUUUCCGUAAAACCAGGAAAAUGUGCUGAAGACGCUGAGACAUGAUUUUACUCUCAAUGUUCAUAAUUAUCCGUUACCAAUUCUGGUAGUCUAUUGAUAUUCCUAAUCUAAGUUGAUAUGCCAGGAAAUACAAAUUCCAGAUCAAAAACUUAUGGAAUAUAGCAAUCAGGAGUUGGCCACUUACCGAUUGAGAUGGCAAAAAUCUUAAUUUUGGCAAAAACUGAUUGUCAAUGAAUACAGCGUAUAUUUUCCUGGUCGGUGACAAAUGAAGCUAGGGUAGGUGUGCAGUGUUUUGUGAUGAACAUAGAAACUUACUACAUAUUUACACUCUCCACCUGAAUCCAAUAGAGUUAUGUUCCCUAGAUUAAUUGACAUGAAGGUAAACGUAACAUAUUCAAGUGACAGAUCAAUAAAUUGGGACCAAGAAUCCAAGUUUGGUUGUGCGUGUGUCGAAGAAAACUUUUGAGAAAAAUCUCAUAGUGACCAUGGCGAAAAAACUCAUCUACUUAUCAUUCAAUACUGAGGUUGACGAAAUGAACAAGUGGAUAUCCUAAUCCGAGAUAUCGACUUGAUAUACUACUCGAGUUUUUUAGUAAAGAUAUAUUCAAUUUGAUGUAUAAAUGAAUAUCAAAGGGUUUUUGCCAUAUACCCCUGCAGAACUAUUUUCAAUUAACUACUGUUCAAAAUGCUUUUCGAUAACCUCAUGACGAACCCAAUCAAGACUAACAGUGUGGAGGUCUUAAUCAUCUACCUUCUUCAGACAAUAAGUGCUGUCAGGUAUUCAUAAGUAACAAUCUGUAACUAAUUCGUUCUGUUCUUGACAUACUGAGAUGAAGAUAAUUUUAUUAUGAACACGACAAAGUCUUAUAGUUGCAGAAAUUUCAAGUUUCAAAGACCCAAUAAAAGACCUCAGUGCGAAGGAUUAUACGUAGAAACUCAUUCAAAUUAUGAAUUGUGGUCUUAGUAUUAUGUUCACAAUGAAAUUACGUAUGUUUCAAUAUUUUAAUGUAUAAUUUUACACCAGAAAACCUUGUUAAAGAGUAGGCAACUAUAUUUUCGCAUUUUACUAAGAUCUUUCUUUCAGUCUUGACGGGUGCUCGAUAGGAAUUAUGAUAAAAUAUAUAAUCAAAUAUUCAAUUACAGGUAGUUUUGUUUGGAUAUAGGGCAGAAGGUUAUCACCUUUCUUUGUUUGUACAUUAUAUUGUGAAAAUAUACAUUUGAUUACGAAAUUCGACAAGGGAUGUUCUUCUAUCUAGUUUGGAUUCCAGAUAUCUUGCCAGUGGGACGAUAAAUCUAAAAACAAACCAUUCUUGGCCACAAUUCGUUGGGUUUCUGGCAAUUGCUUUAUCACUAAGAAGAUCUUUACCAGAAAAGAUGUGUUGUUUAAUUCAGUCUUACCGAAAACGUUAUGCUUUUAACUCAGACAUACUGAGAAACUGCCUACUUAAUUUUACUUCAAAAUAUACUACGCUACUAAUACUAAUGACUAUGAUACGAAAAAAAUCACACAUGCCUAUACUAGGUAUAUAGGUUUUGCUUAUUUGGGCCCAAGGAAGAUUGUUCAAACAAGUUCUUCAACAUUACACAAGCUUUUCCGUAAGGAAUAAUAUCAUCACACUUACUUCUAAGUACAAAAGUACAGUAGGUCUGUAUAGAAAGGGAGGCUGUAAUACAGCUGUGCCGUGCUACCUUGAGGCUCAGGAAAGGGAUUUGGAAGAGAUUGGAGGCAAUCACCAAGAUGGAUCGAACGAGGUAGAUUCAGAUCAACCAAGUUUCCGCAUGCGUUUCAGAGUGAAAAUAUCUGAGACUAAUAUAUGUCAACCCUCACAACUUUACCAGUGUGAUUCAUGAAGUGUAUAUAUUUUUUUGCAAUCGAAAGUAGGUAUAUAUCCGAUAACCACAUGAGAUAUGCUUAGAAUGGUUUCAACUACCAUAAAUAGGAAAUGAAAGUAUUCCUGAAAUAGUUCUACUUUUGUCAAUCACUUUCUGUAACGUUUGGGGAUAUAGUUUUAUUGUGAAAUUGAUGAAACAAAUUCACAAUUACUGCACAGUUAAUGAACUACACAGUACUAGGUGAGGUCAUUAAGGAAACUUGACUCAUCAGAAAACCUCUGGCCAUUCGACUAUACGCAAGAAAAAAUAAAUAAAAAACUAAUUGAAAACUGCAAGAAAUGGUAUUAUUAAUUAAAAAAAGCAUUUACAACAAAAAAUCAAAGAAAAACAAAACAAUGUACAUUUAAUUUAAGAACAAUUUUACCAUUAAACUAAUAUAUAAUAACAACAGGUUUAAAAAAUGUAGUAAUAAAAAACGGAGCGCCGUGUUGCAUCCAGUGUUCUCAUUCCGAGUCUUCCGCGUUUCAAGGUGCCCAUCCCAGGACGUCCAAGAACGAUACAAAAAAAUGUGUACUCCGAACAUGACACUUUAAAACAACAUAUAACACUUAUCGAAUGGGCACCAGGAAAGAGGCGGCCGGUGAGCCUGGAUACCGCAGGGAUCUCUAAUUGAGGGCUGGCAUUUGGAUUGAGAUCGCUCAGCCCUCGCGAAAUUGCGAUCAAUCGCCUCCUGAUCUCAAAAAACAACAAUGAUAUAAUUUAAAUAAUAAUAAGAUAUAAAUUAUUGUAAAAAAACUCGAGUUCCAUCGAGAAAAAAAUCACGGGGAUUGAUUCUGGAUAAAACAAACAAAAAAACAAAUACUGAUAAAAUGUAUCCAUCGCACCCACACGAUGUACAAAACAAGUUAUAUCGCAGCAUUAUCAGUCGUAACAAAAGAAGUGGGUAUCGACAGAUGGAAGUUGAUUUAGCAUUAAGCUAGUCGGACAAGACGCACGAACUUCAACUGUUGGCUGUAUUGUGCUAUCAAGCCCAUGAUUUUAUUCCGAGGGCAGAAAAAAAUAAAAAAAAUAAAUGAACGAGAACCUAGCUACUAAGUAUAUAGUCUUGAAUGGCGCAAAUCGGCCCAGGAAUACGAGAGCUCGUACGUGCCCUCGAGUUCGAUAUCUUAAACUUGGCAGCAUUAACAAACAAAUAUAUUACUACAAAAAACUACAACUAAUUAAAAAAAUAGAGAUGGUGAAGAGAUGCUUGCAUGCACCACACUUACUAAUAUUACUUGUGAAUAACAAAACUAAAAAUAAACAUAAACAAUGCCGACAACGGUCGAUCCCGAGCGGCUGGAAAUAAGGGCACACGGCACGCGGUCGUAUUUCAUCGAUAAUAUAAACAUCCACAAGUGGGGGAUAAAGAGAGAACAAUAAAAAAAGAUCUAA